This is a non-coding RNA of Picea glauca (white spruce), 45 nucleotides long. The record is from Rfam. Lineage: Eukaryota; Viridiplantae; Streptophyta; Pinopsida; Pinales; Pinaceae.
UCCAUGGUGUCUUUAGACACCACCAUUACUCUCAUAUCAAUUCCU